RNAcentral lists this ribosomal RNA (420 nucleotides) under Fusobacteriota bacterium. RNAcentral describes it as "Fusobacteria bacterium partial 16S ribosomal RNA". It matches the Rfam family "Bacterial small subunit ribosomal RNA", at positions 355 to 776 of the family's 1533-position model. Lineage: Bacteria; Fusobacteriati; Fusobacteriota. The record is from RNAcentral.
UGGGGGAUAUUGCACAAUGGGCGAAAGCCUGAUGCAGCGACGCCGCGUGGGGGAUGAAGGCCUUCGGGUUGUAAACUUCUUUUGCUCUGAACAAGGCAUGCCUUUGGGGUGUGUUGAGUGUAGGGGUUGAUUAGCGCCGGCUAACUACGUGCCAGCAGCCGCGGUAAUACGUAGGGCGCGAGCGUUGUCCGGAAUUAUUGGGCGUAAAGGGCUUGUAGGUGGCUGGUUGCGUCUGUCGUGAAAGCUCAUGGCUUAACUGUGGGUUUGCGGUGGGUACGGGCUGGCUUGAGUGCAGUAGGGGAGGCUGGAAUUCCUGGUGUAGCGGUGGAAUGCGCAGAUAUCAGGAGGAAUACCGGUGGUGAAGGCGGGUCUCUGGGCUGUUACUGACGCUGAGGAGCGAAAGCGUGGGGAGCGAACAGG